Molecule: ribosomal RNA, 451 nt
Filed under: uncultured bacterium
Lineage: Bacteria
Description: bacterial SSU rRNA
Rfam family: Bacterial small subunit ribosomal RNA
Source: RNAcentral
GUGGGGAAUAUUGGACAAUGGGGGGAACCCUGAUCCAGCCAUGCCGCGUGUGUGAAGAAGGCCUUUUGGUUGUAAAGCACUUUAAGCGAGGAGGAGGCUACCGAGAUUAAUACUCUUGGAUAGUGGACGUUACUCGCAGAAUAAGCACCGGCUAACUCUGUGCCAGCAGCCGCGGUAAUACAGAGGGUGCAAGCGUUAAUCGGAUUUACUGGGCGUAAAGCGCGCGUAGGUGGCCAAUUAAGUCAAAUGUGAAAUCCCCGAGCUUAACUUGGGAAUUGCAUUCGAUACUGGUUGGCUAGAGUAUGGGAGAGGAUGGUAGAAUUCCAGGUGUAGCGGUGAAAUGCGUAGAGAUCUGGAGGAAUACCGAUGGCGAAGGCAGCCAUCUGACCUAAUACUGACACUGAGGUGCGAAAGCAUGGGGAGCAAACAGGAUUAGAUACCCGUGUAGUCC